Molecule: ribosomal RNA, 253 nt
Filed under: uncultured bacterium
Lineage: Bacteria
Description: partial 16S ribosomal RNA
Rfam family: Bacterial small subunit ribosomal RNA
Source: RNAcentral
UACAGAGGGUGCAAACGUUGUUCGGAAUUACUGGGCGUAAAGAGCCUGUAGGCGGUCCGGAAAGUCGGCUGUGAAAUCCCGCGGCUCAACCGUGGAAGUGCACUCGAAACUACCGGACUCGAGUCCCGGAGAGGAAGGCGGAAUGCUCGGUGUAGAGGUGAAAUUCGUAGAUAUCGAGCGGAACACCAGUGGCGAAGGCGGCCUUCUGGACGGUGACUGACGCUGAGACGCGAAAGCGUGGGGAGCAAACAGG